AUUGAACGCUGGCGGCAGGCUUAACACAUGCAAGUCGAGCGGUAGCACAAGAGAGCUUGCUCUCUGGGUGACGAGCGGCGGACGGGUGAGUAAUGUCUGGGAAACUGCCUGAUGGAGGGGGAUAACUACUGGAAACGGUAGCUAAUACCGCAUAACGUCGCAAGACCAAAGAGGGGGACCUUCGGGCCUCUUGCCAUCAGAUGUGCCCAGAUGGGAUUAGCUAGUAGGUGGGGUAAUGGCUCACCUAGGCGACGAUCCCUAGCUGGUCUGAGAGGAUGACCAGCCCCACUGGAACUGAGACACGGUCCAGACUCCUACGGGAGGCAGCAGUGGGGAAUAUUGCACAAUGGGCGCAAGCCUGAUGCAGCCAUGCCGCGUGUGUGAAGAAGGCCUUCGGGUUGUAAAGCACUUUCAGCGAGGAGGAAGGUGGUGAACUUAAUACGUUCAUCAAUUGACGUUACUCGCAGAAGAAGCACCGGCUAACUCCGUG
Molecule: ribosomal RNA, 490 nt
Filed under: uncultured bacterium
Lineage: Bacteria
Description: partial 16S ribosomal RNA
Rfam family: Bacterial small subunit ribosomal RNA
Source: RNAcentral